This is a long non-coding RNA of Molossus molossus (Pallas's mastiff bat), 387 nucleotides long. RefSeq lists it as uncharacterized. The record is from RefSeq and is a predicted model, not a curated record. The transcript is spliced from 4 exons. Lineage: Eukaryota; Metazoa; Chordata; Mammalia; Chiroptera; Molossidae.
ACAGGCAUUCCGAAAAAUCGCAUCUGUGUGUGUGUAUGGUUUGACCACUGCCGGGCACCAAGCUGAAUGCUGAGUCUCAUGGGCGUGAGACAAGGUUGUUGAGGAAGUCAUUGUACUCAGACAUGACACAGUCAGCUUUUACACACCUGAGCAGUGGAGACACCUGCAAGAGAGAAAGAAAGGGAAGAGGGAGAAAGAGAUUUGUUGUCUCACAUAUUUCUGUAUUCAUUGGUUGUUUCUUAUAUGUGCCCUGACUAAGGAUUGAACCCACAACCUUGACAUAUUGGGAUGAUACUCUAACCAAUUGAGCUACCUGGCCAGGGUUUCAUUUCCUAUUUAUUAAUACAGUGUGAACCGAACCCAGGACUCUAGUCCACAGGCUGAUGC